RNAcentral lists this long non-coding RNA (625 nucleotides) under Equus caballus (horse). Its description in RNAcentral is "lncRNA (ENSECAG00000057043.1)". Lineage: Eukaryota; Metazoa; Chordata; Mammalia; Perissodactyla; Equidae. The record is from RNAcentral.
ACCUCAUAAUAUUCAACUUCCAUUUUCUGUAUAGAUUGUGAGGCCUAGAGCGCUGCUUCCUGUUUCUCACAGUUUGGUAGCCAUUGACUUCUAGGAUGUAGAAGUUUUCUAAAAAUUGCUUAGACUUAAUUCAUUCUGAACGUUCAAAUCCGUGGGCAGGAGCGACAGAAAAUUCCUUGAACUUACUCCAAGGAGGGCAAUCUGUUUAUGAUGUGUUGACAUGGCAACAGUUACCUUGGACACCCAGCUUCUUCUUGUUUUCAUCACUCUACCUUAUUUUUGCCCUUUAAUAUGCAGCAUCCAGCUCAUGCUGUGUUGCAGGGAUUUGAUACUGUAUUUCUGACCCUCUCCCAUUACCCAUGGCCACAUGACUCAGAUCUCCCACGGUUCAUUCAUUUCUGUGCCCACAUCCCUUUAACUGGUGAUAAUGGCAGGAGAUUUCUGGUCCUCAAGCUAAAAGCUUUAGCAUCUUCAGUGAUGAUUCCUGAUUCAUUGACAAUUCAAUGAAGAGUUGAACAAGUUAUUCAGAUUCUACCUCUGAAAUAUAUUUCAAGUUCAUCUCAGUUGAAGAUCUAAUGAUUUUCUUGGCCUAUAUAAUAAAGCCCAUAUCUUUAGUAAUACUCAG